This 252-nucleotide unclassified non-coding RNA is filed under the name uncultured Alphaproteobacteria bacterium. Its description in RNAcentral is "contains 16S-23S intergenic spacer region". It matches the Rfam family "Bacterial small subunit ribosomal RNA", at positions 524 to 776 of the family's 1533-position model. Lineage: Bacteria; Pseudomonadati; Pseudomonadota; Alphaproteobacteria. The record is from RNAcentral.
UACGAAGGGGGCUAGCGUUGUUCGGAAUCCCUGGGCGUAAAGCGCAUGUAGGCGUACUUUUAAGUCAGUGGUGAAAUCUCGAGGUUCAACCCCGGAACUGCCUUUGAUACUGGAGUCUUGAGUCCGAGAGAGGUGAGUGGAACUCCGAGUGUAGAGGUGAAAUUCGUAGAUAUUCGGAAGAACACCAGUGGCGAAGGCGGCUCACUGGCUCGGUACUGACGCUGAGGUGCGAAAGCGUGGGGAGCAAACAGG